GACGAACGCUGGCGGCGUGCCUAAUACAUGCAAGUUGAGCGCUGAAGGUUGGUACUUGUACCCACUGGAUGAGCAGCGAACGGGUGAGUAACGCGUGGGGAAUCUGCCUUUGAGCGGGGGACAACAUUUGGAAACGAAUGCUAAUACCGCAUAAAAACUUUAAACACAAGUUUUAAGUUUGAAAGAUGCAAUUGCAUCACUCAAAGAUGAUCCCGCGUUGUAUUAGCUAGUUGGUGAGGUAAAGGCUCACCAAGGCGAUGAUACAUAGCCGACCUGAGAGGGUGAUCGGCCACAUUGGGACUGAGACACGGCCCAAACUCCUACGGGAGGCAGCAGUAGGGAAUCUUCGGCAAUGGACGAAAGUCUGACCGAGCAACGCCGCGUGAGAGAAGAAGGGUUUCGGAUCGUAAAACUCUGUUGGUAGAGAAGAACGUUGGUGAGAGUGGAAAGCUCAUCAAGUGACGGUAACUACCCAGAAAGGGACGGCUAACUACGUG
RNAcentral lists this ribosomal RNA (497 nucleotides) under uncultured bacterium. Its description in RNAcentral is "partial 16S ribosomal RNA". It matches the Rfam family "Bacterial small subunit ribosomal RNA", at positions 28 to 507 of the family's 1533-position model. The record is from RNAcentral.